CUCCAAAGUGGAGCCAAUCCCCUGGAACCAGACUGAAGGGGACCUCACCCCAGACGAGGUGGUGGCCCUAGUGGGCCAGGGCCUGCAGGAGGGGGAGCGAGACUUCGGGGUCAAGGCCCGGUCCAUCCUGUGCUGCAUGCGCCACCAGCCCAACUGGUCCCCCGAGGUGGUGGAGCUGUGUAAGAAGUACCAGCAGCAGACCGUGGUGGCCAUUGACCUGGCUGGAGAUGAGACCAUCCCAGGAAGCAGCCUCUUGCCUGGACAUGUCCAGGCCUACCAGGAGGCUGUGAAGAGCGGCAUUCACCGUACUGUCCACGCCGGGGAGGUGGGCUCGGCCGAAGUAGUAAAAGAGGUGAGGGCCUGGGCUGGCCAUGGGGUCCCUCCUCACUGCCUCCUCCCAUACUUGGCUCUAUUCUGCUUCUCUACAGGCUGUGGACAUACUCAAGACAGAGCGGCUGGGACACGGCUACCACACCCUGGAAGACCAGGCCCUUUAUGACAGAGUGCGGCAGGAAAACAUGCACUUCGAGAUCUGCCCCUGGUCCAGCUACCUCACUGGUGCCUGGAAGCCGGACACGGAGCAUGCAGUUGUUCGGCUCAAAAAUGACCAGGCUAACUACUCGCUCAACACAGAUGACCCGCUCAUCUUCAAAUCCACCCUGGACACUGAUUACCAGAUGACCAAACGGGACAUGGGCUUUACUGAAGAGGAGUUUAAAAGGCUGGUGAGUGGGUGUGAGCCAUACUGGCCUUGACUCGGGUUUGGGAGUAUGGUAUCUACAGGUCCAGUCCGGGGCCUGGAAUCUUUGGAGAGAGGGAGUGAGUCUGCCUCAACAGUCCAAGACAAGCCCAACCUAGACACUUUCCACAGAGAAGACAUCUUUGUGUUGACGUCCUGACCUAGGACCAGGUUUUUGAUCCUUUGCUUGGGUUGAGUGCCUUUAAAGAAUCCAGUGAAAGCUGUCAACCCUCUCCCCAGAAAGGUGUGUGCAGCAGCUAUGAAGUCUUGCACACUCUCUUCAGGUUGUUCUUAAAUCCCAGGCUGAAUAAGUCCAUUCCUGCAGGUGUCUGCAAGGUGUCUCUGGCCCCCUACAUGCCACCCUGUCUCUCAAAGGUUUCUCCAACUUCCUUCUCACAGCCCUUUAUCAUGUAAUGACACAUUAAGAACACGACCUCAUGGUCUCUACUCUGGCACUUGCUGCCGUCUGACAGUGGACAAAUCCUUCCCCCUCUAAGCGUAUCUGCCCAUGUUCAGUGAAGAGGAUGGACUAUCACUACAUUGCUAAGAGCUGCCUUCUUUGUUCUCUGGUUCCAUGUUGUCUGCCAUUCUGGCCUUUCCAGAACAUCAAUGCGGCCAAAUCUAGUUUCCUCCCAGAAGAUGAGAAGAGGGAGCUUCUCGACCUGCUCUAUAAAGCCUAUGGGAUGCCACCUUCAGCCUCUGCAGGGCAGAACCUCUGAAGACGCCACUCCUCCAAGCCUUCGCCCUGUGGAGUCACCCCAACUCUGUGGGGCUGAGCAACAUUUUUACAUUUAUUGCUUCCAAGAAGACCAUGAUCUCAAUAGUCAGUUACUGAUGCUCCUGAACCCUAUGUGUCCAUUUCUGCACACACGUAUACCUCGGCAUGGCCGCGUCACUUCUCUGAUUAUGUGCCCUGGCCAGGGGCCAGCACCCUUGCACAUGGGCAUGGUUGAAUCUGAAACCCUCCUUCUGUGGCAACUUGUACUGAAAAUCUGGUGCUCAAUAAAGAAGCCCAUGGCUGGUGGCAUGCA
RNAcentral lists this small RNA (1770 nucleotides) under Pan troglodytes (chimpanzee). RNAcentral's name for it is "processed transcript". The record is from RNAcentral. Lineage: Eukaryota; Metazoa; Chordata; Mammalia; Primates; Hominidae.